This 450-nucleotide ribosomal RNA is filed under the name uncultured bacterium. RNAcentral's name for it is "partial 16S ribosomal RNA". It matches the Rfam family "Bacterial small subunit ribosomal RNA", at positions 329 to 793 of the family's 1533-position model. The record is from RNAcentral.
UUCCAGACUCCUACGGGAGGCAGCAGUGGGGAAUAUUGGGCAAUGGGCGCAAGCCUGACCCAGCAACGCCGCGUGAAGGAAGAAGGCCCUCGGGUUGUAAACUUCUUUUAUUCGGGACGAAACAAAUGACGGUACCGAAUGAAUAAGCCACGGCUAACUACGUGCCAGCAGCCGCGGUAAUACGUAGGUGGCAAGCGUUAUCCGGAUUUAUUGGGUGUAAAGGGCGUGUAGGCGGGAGCGCAAGUCAGAUGUGAAAACUCAGGGCUCAACCCUGAGCCUGCAUUUGAAACUGUGUUUCUUGAGUGCUGGAGAGGCAAUCGGAAUUCCGUGUGUAGCGGUGAAGUGCGUAGAUAUACGGAGGAACACCAGUGGCGAAGGCGGAUUGCUGGACAGUAACUGACGUUGAGGCUCGAAAGCGUGGGGAGCAAACAGGAUUAGAUACCCCAGUAA